Long non-coding RNA from Dama dama (fallow deer), 8964 nucleotides. RefSeq lists it as uncharacterized. The transcript has 3 exons. Lineage: Eukaryota; Metazoa; Chordata; Mammalia; Artiodactyla; Cervidae. The record is from RefSeq and is a predicted model, not a curated record.
CUGUCUUUUUUUUUUCCUCAAAUCUCUUCCUUAAUCUUAUAAUUCUACAGCUUUAAGUGGGGGUGGUUGCUGAGACAGACACAGGAAAUGCUUUGAGCUGCUGAAACUUAGCAUUUUUCAGCAGUAGAUCUCAGCCCCGGGCAUUUGCUGUUUUGGGACUGACUUGUGUGAGGUGGCAGUAAUGGAGAGGUGUCUUAUGUGUUUCCUAGUUGUUCAUUUCACCCCUCCCUAGGUGUUUAGGUAGAACGCACAGAGUGUUCUUUGGCUGUGUGGGCAUGCUCAGAUGGUCCCAGAGUGUCCCGUUCUGCCGUAUGACAGGGCUGCUUCAGUGCAGAGUAAAUGUCAUCCUCACUCUCUCAGGCUAAGUAGUUCUCCAAAAAUAAGUGUUUGCUUCAGAGAACGAGAGUUUCCUUUUGCCUUUGGCAGCUUGGGGAAAGCUUGGGUUAAAUUUGAAGAUACCAGGCAUGCAUAACCAAUAACAAUUAGGAUUAAAGCCAUUUGAAAUAUUUCUCACAUUAAAAAAACAAAAACAAAACGGUUCUUAUUACUCAGCUACUUGUUUUUUUGUGUAUUUUUCCCAAAGAUUUGGCAGUUUUCUGAAUUGUAAGGUGGUAUGCACGUAUUUUGGUACUAUGCCUCCAGAUCAGUGGAGCAAGUCCCUGAGAUUAACUGGAUGGGAGGGUGAUCCAGCUUCACAGUGAAUCCACCAUUUUCACAUCUCAUCCACAGUCCCUGACUGUAUACAAAAUGUGGCUGACAGCUGUAGUUUAUCAUGAUUUUUUGGUGUGUUGUGGGUUUAUAAAUAGUACAUAGAUCUUCUCUAAGAGAUACAUGCUGAAGCACACAGGUUCUGUGCAGUUUUACCUGAUCCUAAAGCAUUCUGUUUCUUGUGAGCCACUGUAUUUUAAAAUAGAUUUUUCACUCUGAAGUUUGAUGAUAAGUCACUCUGCUCUUCCUUAUGGCUGAUCACUUUAAAUGCCAGCUUUAUUAACAGAUUUGUACUUCUGCUCUCCCCCACCCCCUUUUCCCCUGUUGUUUGUUCUGUAUCUUGGAUUUUAAAACCCUGGCACAUCUCUGUUUGUUCUGAGGUUAUAAAAGGUCAGUUUCCUUAUCUAUGUUUUAUUAAGAGUGCAAUCCCAGGUUGAAUGGGGUGUUCAGAAGAAAAGAAUUCAUAGGCCAGCCCUGAAAGGACAGGGGGUGGAGACUGAUAGUAAAACAGAAGUUAACUCCUUUUUCUCCAUUAUUGACAGUCCAAAAAGAGGAGGAAAAUGUAAAACGUAAUCUGAAUAUUUUUAAUUGAUGUUGUUUUGUCUAUUUAUUGCCUUAAUCCAUGAGUAGAGAAAAGCUUGCCAAAAUCGCUUAGUACCUGAGUGAAUGAUUUUAGAUUAAACUUGCUUCUCUACCCGUGUCUCUCACUGACCCAAAGUAUUCAUCAAAUCUGCGAAAGUGAAAGUCUCUCAGUUGUGUCCAACUCUUUGCGACCCCAUGGACUAUACAGUCCAUGGAAUUCUCCAGGCCAGAAUACUGGAGUGGGUAGCCUUUCCAUUCUCCAGGGGAUCUUCCCAACCCAGGGAUCGAACCCAGGUCUCCCGCAUUGCAGGGGGAUUCUUUACCAGCUGAGCCACAAGGAUCCUCUCAUUGAAACAAUGAUUAAAAUGUUCAGAAAAGAGGUAUUUGCUCUAGCUUCUGAAAUUCUUCACAUGACUCUCUGGAUACAUCAAACUGCUGUAGAUAGGGGUUUAUGUAUAACCUCUUUGCAUGAUGUUGCAACACACUUUAUGAAAACUGCAGGAUAAACAUUUUAAAGGCGCAAAACUCUAGAGGGGAAAACAUAUCUGAUUCUAGGAAAGAAUUGGAGAGUCUUAGGAAGUGGGAUAUGACAGAAUGCAUUGCUUAUAUGUUGAAGUUAUGUUUGUGUUUUAAAUAUUACACAAGAUAAUAUUCCCAAAUGUUGACUUAAAGAUGAAUAAUUUGCUUUUUCCUUCCUUAAUGACCCUGCAACAACACACAUCUAUAUAAAUUGCCUUGAUUUUCUGUACAGAUGCCCAGAAUUUGUUGUGAUAAUUAUUUGGUUCUGUGCAGAUGCUAUCUGUGUCAUUUAAACAGUUGUUAUUUACACUGGACUGUAACUUUAUUAAAUGGUGGACUUUCAAAUGAUAACACUCCCCUCCCAUCUCAACUGCAGCUUGACCAACUCUCAUCGUUUGGUGGGGCUCAGAGCGCUACAUAAAGGUCAGAUUCCCUAGGAACAGUGCCUAUGGAACAAUGCAAAGAUCUGCCCACAUUAUUUUGUAAUUGUGGGAUUUCUUUGUAACUGACUUUCAUUCGAAAGGAAUAGCUAGAACGGUGAUUUCAGUGGUGGAUGAGAAGUGUACAGCAUGGCAACAGAGGACUGGCAGUGCAGCGUCUCCCUACUCCCAGUGCUCAAAAUGCUUUCCUUCUCCUCCAGAGAAUGUUUUACAUCCCUUAAGACCGUGAGAAGAAAAAUAGGUUGAGAACUCUGACUUAAUGCUUAAGAACAUUCGUCAUUGAUUAUUUUAAUUCAGGCCAGAAAUUACUGUAUGCCAGAGUUCCAGUAUAUCCUAUCUGAAACAGAGGGUGGUGUAGACUGAUCAUUUGUUCACUGAACAAACAGUUGCUGGAGAAUCUGCUUUCUAUCAGAGUUUGGGAGUUGAGAUGGCUCUCUGCCCUCAUGCAGCUUCCAUUCUGGUUGGGGAAGAUAACGACAAGUAAUAAGGCUAAUAAGUAAAUGAGGCAUAUGUUGGAGAGGUAUGGGCUAUAGUCCCAGUCCUGCCAGAACCAGAUGGGAACUUGGGGAUUCAGUUAACAUGCCAGAGCUUUUAUUCCUCACUUGUAAAAUAAGGCUACUUCACAAGACAGCUUCUCAAGAUCGUUAGAUUCUAGGACGUUUCAGAAUAUAUGUGUAUAGACAUGUAUAGAUUGGUUUUAAAAAUAAAGUGACACGUUUUCCUGUGACUCUCAGAAAUGGUCAGAGACACUGGUCUCAAACUUAUUUUUCUGUUUCUAGGCAGUUAAAGGAGCUAAAAAGCAAUUUCUUAACUGAUUAUUACUCAGUUACAAACUACUCAUAGAAGAUCAAUGAAGGCGUUUACUGGACUUAAACUUGUACUACUAGUACAGAGGAAAAUCUGGAUUUAGACAAAAUUUUGUAACGCUGGAUAGGGCUUACUAUAGUAGUAGAGAUGUUCUGAAGACAGGAUAUCUAGAUUUCAGCAGUACAUUCAACAGAGUUCUUCAUGGUAUCUUUUGAGGGGAGGAAAUUAUAAUUGAUUCUUCAUAACUGAGUCAGUGAAUGAAAGAGUGAAGAUUACUAACUUGGAUAAACACCAUCCUGGAACACGGUCUCUGAUGGAUUGCUGCAAAGUGCUUCCGGUCCUCUUCAACCUCUUCAUUAAUCCGUCACUAAUGACAUUGCUGUACUUAGUCAGGGUUGAAGAUGUCAAGCAGCUGAAAAGAGUAAUUAAAAUUGUGAGCUGUAAAGUUGGAAUUCAGUGGUAUUCUCAGAUGUAAAGCAGAAGUCACCACAUUAUAUGAUUCAGCUGUACCACAUUUAUGUGAUUUAUGGAAAGGUCAGCUGUUCUUAACACCAUUUUCAAUUAUAGAGAAAACAAACCAAAGAACUGCAUUAGAUGCUGUGAGUAGGUUCUCUGGCAGUCUCUUAACUCAAAGUAAUUUAGAUCCUCUAGCAAAAAGGAAGUCUUUACCUAGUGGGAUCUUAAUUAACCUAAACCAGACAAAGCUCUUGUUACAUUACAAUAUAUUUUAAGAAUUAGGUUGUCUUCGUCAUUCUUUAAAAUUAAAAUUCUGGAAAAGAAGCAUUAUUAAUAUUACCCUAACAUUAGGAUGUUAUAACAGAAACAUUGUUGUUGAUAUAAUUACAACAUAAAACACCCUGAGAGAAAACAGAGUUCCUAGUAGUUGAAAAGAAUACAAGAGGUGCCUAACAAUAUUCCCAUCUCAAUGUUGUUCACAAAAAGCCACCGAAAGAACAUUUGUUAUCAAUUGGUCAUGAGCAAAUUUGUUUCAUUAAAGUUUUCCCCUUAAUAUGCAAGACAAAGCACUAAGUUACUAGGAAUUUUAAUUAGGACUUUUCCUUUCCUACUCCCUAGAUUAAAGGGCUGCAAAUUCUAUAAUACCAUAUAAAGCCUUCAGUUCAGUUCAGUCGCUCAGUCAUGUCCGACUCUUUGUGACCCCAUGGACUGCAGCACGCCAGGCUUCCCUGUCCAUCACCAACUCCUGGAGUUUGCUCAAACUCAUGUCCAUCGAGUCGGUGAUGCCAUCCAACCAUCUCAUCCUCUGUUGUCCCCUUCUCCUGCCUUCAAUCUUUCCCAGCAGUCAGGGUCUUUUCCAAUGAAUCAGUUCUUCCCAUCAGUGGCCAGAGUAUUGGAGCUUCAGCUUCAGCAUCAGUCCUUCCAAUGAAUAUUCAGGACUGAUUCCCUUUAAAAUUGACUGGUUUGAUCUCCUUGCAGUCCAGGGUACCCUCAAGAGUCUUCUUCAACACCACAGUUUAAAAGCAUCAAUUCUUCAGUGCUCAGCCCUCUUUAUAAAGUCUUAGCAGUCAUCUAAACUCUAGUUAAAAUUAAUUUUGACUGUAACAUAGUUUAAACAAUUAAUUUUUAUCAAAUCAUUAGAAGAUAAAAAGUAAUUUUGUCAGAAAAUAUUCUUGGGAAGAUGGAAUAUGUUUUUUUUCCUGAGUGUGCCAAAGUCAAGAACAAACUAGAGACAGUUCCAUAUUGAUUUUUCUAAAUAAUGGCUUGAGAACAGAGGUCUUCUACAGUUAUUGUUUCUUGAUCUUACAUGAGAACUCUGUCUCCAAAUUUUAAUUGUGAAUGAUUUCACCCCCAUUUCUAGUAAAUUUCACUUAAAUACUGGGUAGACUAUCUUUUUGGGACUUCCAAGGUGGUACAGUGUAAAGAAUCACCUGCCAACACAGGAGACGCAGGUUAAAUCCCUGGGCUGGGAAGAUUCCCUGGAGUAGGAAAUGGCAACCCACUCCAGUAUCUUGCCUGGAAAAUCCCAUGGACAGAGGAGCCUGAUGGACUAGUCUGUGGGGUUGCAAAGAGUCAGACAUGACUGAGCGUACACAGACUACCUUCUAAGGUCUCUUACAACUCUGGCUUGGAAUUCUGUGGAGAAAAAAGUUUCGUUAACUCUGCUUUUUAUGUGCUUGUGGAAUAUCAGAAACUAAGUCAAUCCUUAAAGGACUAAAAUUAAUUCAUAAGCAAACACUGUCAAGCAAUCAGAGGUGGCUCUGUAAAACAUUGAAUACAAAAAAAUGGAAGAUUCCAGUUCAGAAACUAGCCACAACUGUCUGUAGAUUCAAAUAUAACAUAAGCAUGUAUUGGAGGUGAUAUGAUGUUAUAUUCUUAUUCCUUAUGUAUUAAUUCACUGGACAUUUAUUGAGCCUACAUUAUAAGCUGCAAUAAACCAUAAUGGAAAAGAAUAUGAAAAAGAAUGUAUACAUAUACAACUGAAUCACUUUGCUGAACACUAGAAGCUGACACAACAUUGUAAAUCAGCUAUGCUUCAAUUAAACAUUUUUAAUAGAAUAAAAUAAAUUAGUAUCUGAAGGGACAUUAAUUCUCUAUACUUCCUUUGUUAGAACAUAUUUAUUGACUUUGGUAGAAGAUGUCCUAUUAUCUUCCUUGUCUUCUUCCUUUUCCCCUCUGUGAUUAUAAUAAGAAUACCACUGCUGUGUGUACAUCUACUGUAUACACGUUGAACCAGUUCACUGAAGCUCUAGGAGUGAGUUGUUUCCGAACUUUAACUUUGUGAACCUGUGCUUAUUCUAUUUUUCAAGAUCAGUGCAGAUUCUUAAUCAGCCAUUUUGACAGCCAUUAUCCUGAUGUGAGUCUUUGACCUCAGCAAGACUUGUUCUUCACUUACACACUGUUCCCAUUUAAUGUAAACACACUUGAGCCAAAGGACGUAAAUAUUUGGCUUCAUAUUUGUCAUACAUUAAAUGUUGACACUAGUUAUGGAAAUACCUCUAGGACAUCCUUUUUGGAUCAGAGUUGCACUUUUUCAGUUAAUUGCCUCGAAUAGCAAGGCAGGUAACCUGGUUAAUUUCUAAAGAAGGCCAGUGCCUGUAUUCUUUUCCUAAAACCUCAUAAUUCUGGUAUUGGCUUUGGCACUAAUUUUGUUGCUCUCCUUUCUGAACUAAUUGGUUCUAAGCAGUAAAAGAAAGCGCUUGCCUUAUUUAGAGGUUCUUAUGACUAUACUAAUCUCAAAAGAUUUUAAACUCCUUUACAGUUACUGUCUUUGUCACUUUUCUGCUCCCCCGCCCACUGGCUGGUUAUGAGGGGUUGCUUUUGCAUAGAGAAAGCCGCUGAAGUCAAACAAAACCUCCCUCUUACUGAAUCCCAGUGGGAGCUUACUACAAUUAAAGACUUUAGGUGAACCCAUAACCUGCUGGAGGAGGGCAGGAAAAGAGACUCCUUGGGGAGUGCACAGCCAGCUGAUGUGACAGAUCUUGAUUUGACUUUAGUACCUCCCUUCCAAAUCUAUCCUCUGCUUUCUGCUAUUAUAGACAGCAACUGAUUUAUUAGAUUUAUCAUUUUUCUUCUUCGAUUCAGCUUUCCUUUUCCCCAUCUUUGGCCACUUUGGGAAAAGUUUAUCCAGCCAGUCAUCAGGCAUCAGCAUCAAGAAGGUCAGUCAAAUUAGAUGCUUUACAGAACAAAGUUCCUCAGUCUUUGGACGUUUUUCCCCAGUGGAUCCUUCAUGAAGUAUCGCGAAGGGUGAAAAAGAGGGAGAACUUUAGGCAUUUUGUCCAAAAAAUUAAGUAAUAUCCAUGAGGUCUUAGAGCUGAGAUAGGUUUUAAUAAUAGAGCAAAGCCUCUAGAAUUAGUCUUGGUUUAUGUUGAGGGUAUCUUUUGUCUGGGAUUUGCUUCCAAAUCAUUGCAUGGGAGGGAGGAAAGACCAGCCAUGAGUUAAUAAUUAAGGCUGGGUAAAGUGUACAGGAUUCAGUAUCCUCUCUACUUUUACACAUAUUUGAAAUGUUGGAUAACAAAGAAGUUUUUAUUUAUUUAUUUUUUUUAACAUGUGUGUAUCAUUUUAUUUCAUUGUCAAAAAUGAUGUUUUAUAAUUAUUCACUUGACAAAUGAAAAACAAUGUGGCAACAUCCAAGAACAAAGAAGUUUUUAAAAGACAUCUUUCCCCAAGAGUUUUAGAAGGAUAAAAUCUAUUUCCUGUAAAUUUUCAGCAUUCCCCCCAGUACUCAACAGUGUUGAACACAGUAAAAAGACUGUUGUAGGUUUGUAUUACUGAGGGAAAAAAAUAUUUUCUUGUCAGAUAAAUUCUGAAUUUAGUAGGGGUUUUUAUUAUUAUUUUUGUUUUAUUUCCAGAUUAUUGUGUUUAUACUACAAUGUUUAAAAGUAUUUCAUAAAUUAGAUUCUAGUGAAACUUGUGUUCACCUUUGUUUCUUUCUAAGGGCAUAUUCAGUAAACUUUAAUCAGUGUUGAGAAGUCUGAAAACUAGUCAAUGAAAAACAGUUUUAAACUGUUUCUUUGGGACUUCUCUGGUGGUCUAAUGGUUAAGAAUCCGCCUGCCAAUGCAGGGGACACAGGUUCAAUCGCUGGUUGGGGAAGAUCCCACAUGCCCUGGAGCAACUGAGUUCGCGGGCCACAACCACUGAGCCUCCACUCCAGAGCUCCUGCCCUGCAACAAGAGAAGCCACUGCAAUGAAAAGCCCACUCACAGCAAUUAGAGGAAGCCCAGGCACAGCAGUGAAGACCCAGCACAGCCAAAAAUAGUAAAUAAAGCUAAAAAAAAAAAAAAAGAGGUUUGUUUGUAAAGUAACAUUUGAACAUUUUUAAAGGAAACUUUUUGUGUUAUCAGUAAAAUAUCCCUGAUAUGUCUUUGGAUGGUAUUUAGUAAAGGAGCCUGUUUUCUGUCUGGGUCCUAAUUUGACUUUACUGCUAAAUGCCGAUUGAAUCCUCAGUGUCUUCUAUUUUGUCAAGUUGAUCACGCUUAUUCAAAUAUCUAUGCCAGUUGAGAUGCUGUAACUUUGAUCUAAAGCAAGGAUUGUUUUUGUUGUUGUUGUUCAAUUGCUAGGUCAUAUCCUACUCUUUGCAGCUCCGUGGACUGUAGCCCUUCAGGCUUCCCUGUCGUGCACCAUCUCCCAGAGUUUGCUCAAACUCAUGUCUGUUGAUUCAGUGAUGCCAUCUCAACCUCUUUUGCCCACUUCUCCUGCCCUCAGUCUCCUAGCAUCAGGAUCUUUUCCAGUGAGUCGGCUCUUCACAUCAGGUGGCCAUCAGUCCUUCCAGUGAAUAUUCAGGACUGAUUUCCUUUAGGAUGGACUGGUUGGAUCUCCUUGGAGUCCAAGGGACUCUCAAGAGUCUUCUCCAACACCAUGGUUCAAAAGCAUCAAUUCUUCGGUGCUCAGGUUUCUUCAUGGUCCAGCUCUCACUUCCAUACAUGACCACUGGAAAAACCAUAGCUCUGACUAUACGGACCUUUGCCCACAAAGUGAUGUGUCUGCUUUUAAUAUGCUGCCUGGGUUUGUGAAGCAAGGAUUAGCAAGCUUUCUUUUUUCUUUGUAAAGGACCAGAUAAUAGAUAGUUUAGGCUUUGAGAGCCACAAGAGUACUCUAAUUCUUUUAGUUUUUUUGUUUUUGUUCUUAAAACUCUAAAAAUUUAGAGGUCUUUUGUAAGAGCCUUGUUAAAACAGACAGAAUUAGACAGUUGAUUUUUAAUUAGAUGCUUUACAAAAAUAAAAACUACAGAUUCAAAUGUUAAAGGUUUUAUUCAAAGGAAAAAUUGUGACUCUCAUACAAAAUGAACAUGUGUCAAAGAUUUUAUUUGUCUCACUAAUUCACCAAUUAUUAGGAAGCAGUAAGAUAUUAAAAUGAGAAUUGGACUUAAGGAAGUUUAUAUUCUCUACCAGACAAAAUUGAUCUGUAUUUCAUCACCAGCACUGUGCACAAGCACAGAGUCCUUCCUCCCUG